Molecule: small nuclear RNA, 109 nt
Filed under: Calidris pygmaea (Spoon-billed sandpiper)
Lineage: Eukaryota; Metazoa; Chordata; Aves; Charadriiformes; Scolopacidae
Source: RNAcentral
GUGCUCACUUUGGCAGCUCAUCCACUAAAAUUGGAAUGAUACAGAGAAGUGUACAGCAUGGCCACUGCGCAAGAAUGACAUGCGAGUUUGUGAAGCAUUCCAUAUUUUU